AUUAAAUUCGAUACCGUUACAAUUAAAAACAAUGCGUAUCGUCAUUAUGAUACUAGUUAAUUAAUGCCAUGAUUUUGGUAGUACUUAUACCUAUGUAAGAAACUGAGAGAGGCGCACAAUUGAGUGGUGAGGGAAUACAUCCAUUAGCUGUAUUCCCUCUCCACACCCAGAUCCUGAUCUCCAACCUGUCGAGACGCUCAACUGAUUCCACUGUAGGGCAAACUGAGUACGAGUAGUCCCGGGUUGUAAAUUCAAGUGUGGUGUGGAAAGGUCCUGGAUUCUCCACAGGAUAUCUUUCCCCCACACAGCCCGAUCGCUAUACGUCAAAACAAUUCGUUUUGACGCACUUAUUGCGUUACAACAUGUGAUAAUGUGCUCGAGUGUACAUGCUCAUUAGUCACGUAAAUAGUAAUUAAAACAGCGAUAGUUUUUUAAUCUUGUGGCAGCACCCAAUGUGACCAUGAAGACUGUGAUAGGACUUUACAUGAUCCUGUUAGUUCUAGCUGUCGCCUCGGACCGUGGACCGUGUGGCUGCUCAAAGACCUUCGAAUUUUGCGCCAACGACUACGAAACUUACCAGAGCAUCUGCGAGUUCCAGUGCAAGCAUCCCUCCACCCAGUUCCAUGACUGGUUUAUACUGUACAACGGGCCUUGCGUCUCUGAGUCGGGGAAUGCAAUGAAUACGAAUUCUGGCUCAAAUUCUGUUUGUUGUGCCCCCCAUUUAGAGUUAUAACGCUGGUAACACAGCAGUCUUCCGCCAUUAUGCUUACUUGUCACAUCUGUCAUGGAUCCAUAAUAAAAAGCAUUACCAAUCUACUA
Molecule: long non-coding RNA, 819 nt
Organism: Cydia pomonella (codling moth)
Lineage: Eukaryota; Metazoa; Arthropoda; Insecta; Lepidoptera; Tortricidae
Exons: 3
Source: RefSeq, a predicted model, not a curated record